AUAGAGAACAGCCUACGAGAAGAGAGUAGGUCUAUAGAGAACAGCCUACGAGAAGAGAGUAGGUCUAUAGAGAACAGCCUACGAGAAGAGAGUAGGUCUAUAGAGAACAGCCUACGAGAAGAGAGUAGGUCUAUAGAGAACAGCCUACGAGAAGAGAGUAGGUCUAUAGAGAACAGCCUACGAGAAGAGAGUAGGUCUAUAGAGAACAGCCUACGAGAAGAGAGUAGGUCUAUAGAGAACAGCCUACGAGAAGAGAGUAGGUCUAUAGAGAACAGCCUACGAGAAGAGAGUAGGUCUAUAGAGAACAGCCUACGAGAAGAGAGUAGGUCUAUAGAGAACAGCCUACGAGAAGAGAGUAGGUCUAUAGAGAACAGCCUACGAGAAGAGAGUAGGUCUAUAGAGAACAGCCUACGAGAAGAGAGUAGGUCUAUAGAGAACAGCCUACGAGAAGAGAGUAGGUCUAUAGAGAACAGCCUACGAGAAGAGAGUAGGUCUAUAGAGAACAGCCUACGAGAAGAGAGUAGGUCUAUAGAGAACAGCCUACGAGAAGAGAGUAGGUCUAUAGAGAACAGCCUACGAGAAGAGAGUAGGUCUAUAGAGAACAGCCUACGAGAAGAGAGUAGGUCUAUAGAGAACAGCCUACGAGAAGAGAGUAGGUCUAUAGAGAACAGCCUACGAGAAGAGAGUAGGUCUAUAGAGAACAGCC
Long non-coding RNA from Oncorhynchus keta (chum salmon), 706 nucleotides. RefSeq lists it as uncharacterized. Lineage: Eukaryota; Metazoa; Chordata; Actinopteri; Salmoniformes; Salmonidae. The transcript is spliced from 4 exons. The record is from RefSeq and is a predicted model, not a curated record.